GACGAACGCUGGCGGCGUGCCUAAUACAUGCAAGUCGAGCGGGGUGCAAUCCGUAGUCUUCGGGCUAUGGGGGGCAUCUAGCGGCGGACGGGUGAGUAACGCGUGGGCAACCUACCCAUGAGUUCGGGAUAACAUCUCGAAAGGGGUGCUAAUACCGGAUGAGCUCAUCUCGGCGCAUGCUGAGGUGAGGAAAGGGUGAUCUGUUGGAAGGCAGGUCAUCUGCUCAUGGAUGGGCCCGCGUCCCAUUAGCUAGUUGGUGAGGUAACGGCUCACCAAGGCGACGAUGGGUAGCCGGCCUGAGAGGGUGGUCGGCCACACUGGGACUGAGACACGGCCCAGACUCCUACGGGAGGCAGCAGUAAGGAAUCUUGGGCAAUGGGCGAAAGCCUGACCCAGCGACGCCGCGUGAGGGAAGAAGGCCUUCGGGUUGUAAACCUCUGUCAUGGGGGAAGAAUUCCCGGGUGCAUGCUCGGGUUGACGGUACCCCAGGAGGAAGCCCCGGCUAACUACGUGCCAGCGGCCGCGGUAAAACGUAGGGGGCGAGCGUUGUCCGGAAUCACUGGGCGUAAAGGGCACGUAGGCGGCCCAUCAAGUCAGGUGUGAAAAGCCACGGCUCAACCGUGGACUUGCACUUGAAACUGGUGGGCUUGAGGGCAGGAGAGGGGAGCGGAAUUCCCGGUGUAGCGGUGAAAUGCGUAGAUAUCGGGAGGAACACCAGUGGCGAAGGCGGCUCCCUGGACUGUUCCUGACGCUGAGGUGCGAAAGCUAGGGGAGCGAACGGGAUUAGAUACCCCGGUAGUCCUAGCCGUAAACGAUGGGCACUAGGUGUGGGAGGUAUCGACCCCUCCCGUGGCGCAGUUAACGCAAUAGGUGCCCCCGCUGGGGAGUACGGCCGCAAAGUUGAAACUCAAAGGAAAUGACGGGGGCCCGCACAAGCAGUGGAGCAUGUGGUUUAAUUCUACGCAACGCGAAGAACCUUACCAGGGCUUGACAUCCCCUGACCGCCGUGGAAACACGGCUUCAAGCGUGAAGCGGACAGGGUGACAGGUGCUGCAUGGUUGUCGUCAGCUCGUGUCGUGAGAGGAUGGGUUAAGUCCCGCAACGAGCGCAACCCCAGUCCCUUGUUUCCAGCGGGUAAUGCCGGGGAGUCAAGCGAGAAAGCCGGUGACAAACCGUAGGAAGGAGGGGAGGAGGUGCAAAUCAUCAUGGCCUUUAUGCCCUGGGCUACACACGUGCUCCAAUGGACGGUACAGCGGAUAGGGAAGGGGUGACCCGGAACCAAUCCCUAAAAGCCAGUCCCAAUUUGGAUUGCAGGCUGCGAACUUGCUUGCAUGGAGGCGGAAUGGGUAGUAAUAGCGGAUCAGCAUGCCGCGGUGAAUUGGGUCCCGGGCCGGGUACACUCCACCCGUCACACCACGAGACUUGGGAAUACCCUAAACCGGUGGGCGUGACCCCCCGGGAGGGGGGGGGCGACCGUCAAAGGUGGGGCCGAUGAUUGGGGUG
RNAcentral lists this ribosomal RNA (1503 nucleotides) under uncultured bacterium. RNAcentral describes it as "bacterial SSU rRNA". It matches the Rfam family "Bacterial small subunit ribosomal RNA". The record is from RNAcentral.